This 88-nucleotide transfer RNA is filed under the name Desulfobacteraceae bacterium. RNAcentral's name for it is "tRNA-Leu". It matches the Rfam family "tRNA". Rfam says of the family: Transfer RNA (tRNA) molecules are approximately 80 nucleotides in length. Their secondary structure includes four short double-helical elements and three loops (D, anti-codon, and T loops). Further hydrogen bonds mediate the characteristic L-shaped molecular structure. tRNAs have two regions of fundamental functional importance: the anti-codon, which is responsible for specific mRNA codon recognition, and the 3' end, to which the tRNAs corresponding amino acid is attached (by aminoacyl-tRNA synthetases). tRNAs cope with the degeneracy of the genetic code in two manners: having more than one tRNA (with a specific anti-codon) for a particular amino acid; and 'wobble' base-pairing, i.e. permitting non-standard base-pairing at the 3rd anti-codon position. The record is from RNAcentral. RNAcentral also lists the same sequence under 1 other name. Lineage: Bacteria; Pseudomonadati; Thermodesulfobacteriota; Desulfobacteria; Desulfobacterales; Desulfobacteraceae.
GCCGAAGUGGCGGAACUGGUAGACGCGCUAGGUUCAGGGUCUAGUGGGUGAUAUGCCCGUAGGGGUUCGAGUCCCCUCUUCGGCACCA